Molecule: microRNA, 22 nt
Filed under: Homo sapiens (human)
Lineage: Eukaryota; Metazoa; Chordata; Mammalia; Primates; Hominidae
Description: hsa-miR-1278
Source: miRBase by way of RNAcentral
UAGUACUGUGCAUAUCAUCUAU